GUUCGCUGCCUUCAAAGGCACCGACGCGCACAGUUUUCCUGCCACUCGGUCCGCGCCUGCGAGACGCGACGGCUUCUGGGAGUUCGUCGCAAGCCUCUGAAAAAAAGCUCCGCCACUCACGGAAACGAACCUCUCUCGCGAACUCGAUCCCUGCGCUCUCGCCGAGACCGUUUCGCGUCGCCCCCGGUGCUCGGCUCGUCGCAAAACGCCCUCCGACGACCACGGCAGCUCUCGGCUCCUGUCUGCCUCCCAAGGUGCAUUUCCACUCGAAGCUUCGGAGCGAGGCACCCGCAACCGUUUGUGUUCUUCUGACACAGAAGCGACGGCAAGACCCGCGGAGUUCGCUGGCGGCUUUGCCUCUGAAAGGGGCUUUCCGCGGUUCCUGUUGCUCUCGAGCUUUCUCCGCCGCGCAGAACGCCAAAGUCGUGACUUCUCCAACACAGCGCAAACGCGCUCAUAGGCUGCAGCUGCGCAGGUCGCAACAAAGUCAGACAGGGAAAACGCGCGUCUGCUCGUGCGUCGCGGCUCCCCUCCUGCGCGUAUGGAGUCGAGACGGCUGGGACAUCGACCUGCCCAGAGAACGCAAGUGAUGAGUUUUGCUUCUCGAAAAAGAUGCGCAGAGAUAAGUGUGCGCUUGGAUACGUCUAGACAGAACAAAAUUCGUUCAUUCCCUUUGAGUUUUAGCAUCUCUCUGAGGAGUUCCAAACCGUCUGCGCCCAUGACAAGGCCAAACUGGAAGAGCAGAUCUGCUGCCUCCUGACAGGAGGACAUGCCUCCCGGUUGAGUGGAAGGUGCAGAAAGAUGCCUCGGGUGUAUGGGCCUCGGAAAAUGUGUAGUUUCGUUUUUUUCACAGUUUCUCGCCUCCUUCCCUAGAGACUCUGUCCCUGUAACUUCCGGUUCAGUUGUUUUCUCCUGUGAAGCCGACGCUUCCAGACGGACAGUUCUGCUCUCUCCGCGGGUGGGGCUCUUUUCUCUCUGCUUCAAGAGGUCUCCGUUCUCAAGCCAAGGUUCCUCUUGUUUCUUUGUCGGAUUUUCGGAGCUCUGUGCCUCCCCACGUUCCACCCUCUUGUGGGUUCUGCGGGCGACAACACCGUCAUCCCGGUGUUUCGCUGCCUGCUUUGCGUUUCCAUCCGUCUCGCCAUCCUUCGAGGCCAUGCAUUCGUCCACCGUUUCGGCAAAAUAAGAAGCUUCUUCUUUCUCGCGCUCCUCUUCGUCUUCUUCGGUUUCACGUUUUUCCUCCUCUCUGUGGAAGUAAUCGAUGACUUUGUCCCAGUCCGCAGGUGGCCACAGUGGGAGCAUUCGAACCCACAUUUCGGCUUCUUUCAGCAGCGCCGCGGUCUCGACAGAUUCAGUGCCUUCUGUUGGAGUCACUUCCUCCUGUGGGUCUCUUGAACUUCGCGAGAGAAGGCUGCUGCCCUGGAGUCCUGUUUGUUCACUAGGAAAAAACAGAGACUCAGCCAACAUGCGCCUGUCAGAACUUUCCUCGGGGGGUGGCAGACGCGGCGCCCUUGCCAUGUGCUGUGCGUACGCGGGGGAGGAGAAAACUGCCAUUUCAGGUGCAUCUGGGUCCCUUCGAAUGCGUUCUGCUUCUCUGCGUUGAAUUGCAAAGCGAGGGUCUGUGCCCGGUGCUUUGCUUGAGAAUCAUGGCCACCUCUCUCAACGAACGACGGUGGAAUGUCAGAAACCCCCGAGUAGAGAGGCGGGGAUCGGGUGACGGGGAAAUGCUCGACUCUCAAGCGAGGGAAAAACGGGUUUUGUCUUGAAAAAGGCCGGUGCUCUGCGGAAGGAUCAGCUGGAACUGGCAAACCGCACAUUUCCGCCCAUGUCCGUGCGUCCACUGGGGUGCCAAGGAGACGGAAAAUCUGCAAAAAGCGACAGACGAAGAAACCGAUACACCGACAUGGGAGAGCGGAAGCGAGCAGACGGCACAAAAGCACAUUCCGUUUCUCCGUCGUUUCCUUUUCCCCCCAUCCACCGGUGGUCCAAUGAAAAAUGAAAUGGAAACGUAAAUACGACGCAGGGCGACAAAGAAGAAACGAAGACGGAUGGAGUGCAAAGUUCGAUCAAGCGCUUAUGCAUUCAUGCAUGAAUAUAGGUCUACAAACAUAUACACAGGUAAAAAUCGUAGAUCUAUACAUGGAUUUGCAUACAUCUCGGCCAGAUCGUGCAUGAGAGUCUGACGAUCACGAGGGCUCUGAAAAGUGGGAAUGUCGAACGGGAUAAAGGAGCGAGAACGAAUCGCGUUGCUGACAGCUUUAGGCACAGAACGUCGGGGCCGGAAAGCAGGAGCACGUGUAGGGAGGACGCAGAUGGAAGCAUCUCAUCUUUUUAUCUCAGUAGAGAGGCUUGGACGGUACCUUUCUGUUUCCACGAUCUACGUCUGAAAACCGAGUCGCUAUAUACAGAACACCAUACGAGGCAUUUCUACAAAUAUACAUGUAUAUAUAUAUAUAUAUAUAUGUAUAUGUGGGUACUUCCAUGUCUGCGAACACGACCAAAUACAAAAGGUUGAACAGAUGUGUGCAGAACGCGUUGUCGUCAUAUAUGCUGACUUGCAACAGAUAGAUCAUCUCUGAGUCUGCUCGAAAGGGGGGUCGAAGAAGCGCGAGCUCCAUGAAGAUGAUUGCGACAGACCAAAUGUCAACUCCGAAAGAAUACAUGGGUGCAGAAUCGACUGUGCCGUCGCCGCGCAUGAGUAGGAGCUCUGGAGCGCGAUAAAAGAGGCGCCUGCUCUCGCGAUACGACCGCUCUCUGUCUUUAGGAUCUGAGAGCGUGAGAACGGCAAAACUCCAGCGCUGAAAAGGUCCGUUUUCACGUUGGCACAUUUGUGCAUUCGGACCUGGAAAAGUUUAUACUUUUGAUGCCAUCUUCCCGAGUACACAUCCCUGUUCUGUGAAACGCAUUCCGUUCUCGCCUUCACGACGAUUGAGAAACCGUGUAAAGUAUAUCUGAAGGAGAAGCAUGAGACCGACGUCCGUACCAAGGCGACUACAUGGUGAAUAGGAGUAAACUUGUGGCGGUCAUAAACCUGAUUCUGUUCUUAGAGAAAACGUGGAAGGCUGAACAGUGGAUCAGAAUUGUGUACCGUGACGCGACUUCUGUGGAAACGGAACACGGCUGCUGGCGGUCAAGGAGUUUAUACCUGGAGUUUUCCCGGUCAUCGAUUCCUUGUUUUGUCGGAGAAAUCUGGUAAAACCAUACCUACUGUACGCAUCGACUCUGGUUCACCACCGUAGAUGCCCCCAGAGCUCUGGUUGCGUGCUCUUGUUGCGCAGAGGGCCUCUAUAUGUUUCCACCUUGAACUCUAACUGUCGAGACUGUGUGGGCAGAAGAUUUCUAAAGAAUAAUCAUUUGAAGCAUUUGAACUGACAGAGUGUGGAUGAGAACCGCAGGCGUUGAAGAGUUCCCCUUCUUACAGACCUCAGUGUUCCUCUAUAGUGCUAAGAAAGGCGAGUGCGGUUUCCGCGGUUGAUACAGUUUCUCUUCCUUUUUGCUGUUUCGCUGGUUGUGUGUACCCUAUUUUAUCGCUCACUUUCGGGCGUGUACGCGCCUCUUGUUUCCUGCAGCAGUCUGCUGAAUCCGAAGUCACUCAGUUCAACGUCAACAUUCGGAAGAAUCUCGUCCAUCUCGUCUCCACUUGCUGCUUCUGACGCAGGACAUUGGGACACUCGUCAAGUUUUACUUCUACCGUCUGUAUCGGGUGCGGAUGUCUGUUUCCGUCUGAUCGCCUCGUUUCCCUUCUUUGCACUCCUCUACUGUCAACGGUAUCGGUCACUAACAUGCCCCCCAGUACAUUUUUUGACUACAGCUUCUAGAUGAUUGAUUGGAAAUUUUUAUGCUUUUCUCUUGUUCAGCCCAAGUCUUACAACGUACACAGACAGACACGCUAAACUGGACCCGCUGCGUCUCUGUGUUUUACCGCAAAUUUCCUUUACGUUCUCUUCCGGGUUGCCGCGCCACUUUCAGCGGCAAGACACGCAGUCGUCGAAUCUCUUUCUGUUUGUCUUCGUCUAGUUUCAUUUCUCAACUGUUUACGCCAUACCUCUUUCCUCAGGUGAACAAGGAACCGAAACGGCAACACGCUUGUGUCUCGCGAUCUUGCGAAUCGUCCGUUCUUUGGCCCCGUUUCCGUCACGGAUGAACGUCUGCACUAGGCGGGGUGUAGAUGAUGUCUCUGGCGCUGUGAGUGGUUCUGAGGUUUUGGAAAUUGGCCAAUCUGUGCGCGAAGAAAAUCUUGAUCUCAUGCCUUCCCGAGUAACUGUGGCCGCAGGCUCAGGGCCUUCUUUGCCUCCAGUGCAAGGACGAAUGAGGAUAUUUUCCGGCUUCAAGUUGCGGUGGAGAAUGCCGUGGCUGUGCAGACGAGAGAGACCGCGUAAGAGCUUCUGGAGAAUGCGCCAGACAAAUUCGCGGUGUAUUUCUUUCGCGUGAAAGGCAGGACGGCGGCUUAGGGAACGCUGGCCAGAGAGGCUGGAGGCGGAUAGGGAGCGACGAUUCUGUGAGCCGGUCAUCCGGUAUGUGGAAACAUCAAACGUUUCCUCUCUUGACAGCGGUGAAGGAGUUGCUGUGUGGGAGCGGAGAGUUAAGAAGCCGGUCGUUUUUAAGCCCUAGAGUAAACAGUACGGAAACAGGUUCGAGACACAGCAACUACACGGUGAGUGUCGACCUUGAUGAAUGGGCGGGUGUAGUCUCUGAAACACCAAGAGCGGGAUCUUGCAUUGUAGAGCCGGGGGUGCAAUGAUACACAAAAAAAUAAUAUGACAAUUUGAGAAACAACUUCUCGAACACAGGGGAAGCGGGGGCAAGUAGACAGCCAAAGCCGUAGUUGAAUUUGUGGAUUGCGGAAAGUGGAUACGCACCUCCCAGAAUGUCCGCAGGUUGCUCUCACAGAAAUCAGUAAUCAUGUAGAGCGUACUGCCCUCGAUUUGACAGCCGAAAAACUCAACAAUGUUCAUCGAUUCAUGGGCAUCUCUUGCACGUCGUCGAAUCAACGCGGAGACAUCCCCAAGCUGCGUCGUUUGUCCAGCAGUUUCCAUCCCAGGAUCUCCCGAAUUGUCGUGAAGAGGCCCGUAGGGAAAUUCGGCUUGGUCGUGAUCGACGUUCCAUUCCGAACGGGGUCGCCGCUCUCGCGGAGGAAGCGAAGACCGGGAAGGAAGCCAGACGGGGCAGGUAGAAGGAAGCGUGGGAGGCACGGCGGUAAGGGCUAUAGACGAAGAACAGCGGUAGGCGCUUCGGGUGAUCUCGUGCUGCCUUUUUCUUUCCAAUUCCUCUCGAUCCUGUCGGCGCCUCACAUGAAUUAGCUGAAGGCGAAGUUCUUGCAGAAGAGAUGCUUCUCGGAGUAUCGACGCUGGAACACCAUCGUCAACUUCUGCAUUUGCGCUCGCGAGGUUGACACUUCGAACAGCCACGCGUGUAAACAGAGGAGAUUGUUCCGGGUCUCGCGAGCGGCUACACCAAGGACAGGAGGCCGCUAAAGAAGGAAUCGAGAAAGAACCAAUAGAAGGUGAACCAUAACAAGAAGGGGCUAUUGGAGAUUGCGGAAUACAGGACACUAAGCGGCAAGUUCCUGAAGAUUGAGAGGUCGCACAUACAGCAGGGUGUCCGCUUUCAGUACGACUGGUUCUUGCAGUACGUGACACAGUGGAUCCGCUGAACGGAUGAUCCUCCGCCUUCAAAGGCCGACACUGUACGCCGCCUCUGGGACUUUUGCUGGCAGAAACAGCAGAAGAACAGACAGCCGGCGUAGGCGUACAAGAAGUGGAUAUCGAGUGUUCUGCAUGUUCUGCAUGCAAACCUCGCCAUGUAUCAUUCACAGAAUCUACCCCAAUUCUGUUUCCGGAAAUUGAAGAUGCGGAUGUGGGAGAAAGAGAGCUGCAUGGGUAAACAUGUACCUCAUUGUGCACGUGACGGGAGCCAUCAUCCGCAGGCUUUGUCUCAACAACGGAGCGGCAGAAAGAAUCCGGUCUAUUAUCAGUGUGGUGAAGUUGUCCUUCCGUUGUCCUUAGCGAUGCGGUCCUUACUGCCUUGAGAACGGCCACGGGGGUCCGCGCAAUCCGCACUUUCCCCUUGGAUCUUCUUUCACUGAUAAUCCCACGUGGUUCAAAGCGUAGACACGCCAGUAAACCCUCGCGUUCUAGCACCGUCGCCCAGUGCGGUGAAGACAAGAUUUCGCGGCGCAUUGCUUUGCACGUAACUGUGAGUGCCGCGUAGGCAACUGAAGCUCCCAGAGUCUCAAGAAGCAAACCACAGAUUGAGAGAAGGGAACAAGUUCCACAGAGAGAUGGUGCAGAUGACCGGCAACUUGAGAAAUGUCUGAUCCGGUUGUUUUCAGUAGGCUCGUCUGCAGGAGAAUGUGUGUAGCAGACCAAAGGUGCCGAGCAUUUAUUUUUACCGGUAUCUUCCUCGCAGCAGCGACAUCGUGUCGUUACCACACCUGUUUCUGCACAGAGCUGCCUUAGGCAGCCUUUGGGAUUUCCAGUGAAUCUCUCCAUGGAAGAUGCAGUGGAUGUGUUUCCGGUGGUACAGAACGUGUCCUUAAUCGUCGUUCCAUUUGCGUCGUGCUGUCGCGGCAACGGGAUGGACGCUGAGAUUUCCCCACGCGAAAACCCCGCGUUCACAUUUGAGCACGCAUCGGCGUGCCUUACAAGCCGCCCGCGUGGUUCCUGCAUCUCACGAGCAGAAGUUGCAGAUGCCGGAUAGUUCGAAUACUUGCCGCAUGUAAACGUCUGUGCACGCCGGGGUUUCCGCUGGUGCUCUGUCGGUUUCUCAGGAAGGUAAGCAAACGCAGCCCUUGUACGGACCCUCACGGAUGUGUUCCCCUGUUUCCUCAGAGCAGGGAGUUCGACCAAUUUGAAGAUUGGCUUUCAUGGGAACGGUGUCUAUCCACAAAAUACUGCGGUAACGAGACACAGGAAGUCCCUGUUAUAGAAAAUGUCUUAUACUGCCACACCUUGGGUCUCCGGUCAUGAAUUUCACCUGACGGUUGGGUUCGCUGAGACGUUAUGGAUUCAAGCUUGAGUGACAACCGUUAGCUGCGCGCAUAUCCGAGGGGAAAUUCUGGCCGGAUAGACAUUCUACGCGUGUAAUCGGAGAAUAAAUUUUCGGACGUGAGGGGAAGUUUAACUGCAGUAUAUAUGUUUCGGGAAUGUGCAUGUAUGUUUGUGACGUGGCUUUCGCUGGCAAUCGCCACCAACCAAACACAACUUCUAUUGGAUAUUUCGACACGUACAGUCGGUAAUGCAGAAUUUAUUAAUCUACGUGACACGCGUAGAGGGAUCGGUGAAUCUGUUCGAAACCAAAUAUACGGUUUCAGGGUUUGAUUUUUUGAUGGAAGUUUGUGGACGGGCGCAAUGAUGGAACGUUGACCCGUCUCGAUCGCAAGUAAGGCCAGUGUCCUUGUUUCCAAGACCAGUCCAGGCCUAGAUGGAUGACUUCAUGGGGAAUUCAGUCACGUGUAAAAAAGCCAAAGGAAAAGCGCACAGAUUCCGCCGUUUUUAUGCUUCUCCUCCCGGGCAAGAAAAUGAAAGAUGGGGAGGAGCAGCGAAAGGGAAAUCACUGCAUUACAUGCGCUGUCCUCUCCGCUUUUCGGGGGAGCUUGUUGAAGGCACCUUUGACUAAAUAAAAAGCAUCAACCGGUACAUGGGCCCUUGCAAAGGAGGAGAAAUUAAUAAGAAAUCGAUACGAAUUUCCUGAGGCGACAGACAGAACCCAUGUGGGCCACAACCACCCAUGUGCAGUUGCCUCGCCUGUCGACAACCAACGAAAAAAAGAGUGUGUUGAUGAGUCUUCUGCCCGUGGAUAAGAAACGUUAAAAAAUUUAGCCCUCUCUCGGAACACAAAAACAAGGCGUUUGGCCAUGAAUAGGGAAACGCAGAUGAGGAUGGAAUGCUUAUCCUUUCGGGCGAGCAUGUGGAAAGCGCUCAACAUCUACAGCCUUCUUCUAAAAGUGCCUUUCAGGGGGUCUUUUAUUCGAUACUUGUGACAUCUUGAGCCCAUUUCUUUUACAAGAAAGGCUUCAGACAGCGGAGAGCACGCACUGCCAUCAAAAGGAAAUCGGCACCUAAAAAAAGCCGGAACGACGCAGCGAGUGCGUGCCCUCUGUUGCCACAACAAGGUAAAUUCAGUUGUUCAUGCCGACUGAGAAAUGCAAUGUUUUUUUCGCAUUUCGUGACGAAAAAUCGAUUGUAUGAGAGCCGAGAGGACUUGUAUUCACAGACGAAUCCGGCCAAAAGCCCACCUAUGCGCCUUCCGCGUGUGACAGCACAACGCAGCAAUGCGUGACGCCACUUAUUUCCCCAAGCC
RNAcentral lists this long non-coding RNA (8298 nucleotides) under Toxoplasma gondii VEG. The record is from RNAcentral. Lineage: Eukaryota; Apicomplexa; Conoidasida; Eucoccidiorida; Sarcocystidae.